RNAcentral lists this non-coding RNA (45 nucleotides) under Schistosoma mattheei. Lineage: Eukaryota; Metazoa; Platyhelminthes; Trematoda; Strigeidida; Schistosomatidae. The record is from RNAcentral.
AUUCAUCUGAUGAGUUCCAAAUAGGACGAAACGCGCAUCCUGGAU